GACCGCGUAGCUCAGUUGGAAGAGCAUUGGGCUAGUAUUCCGAAGGUCGUAGGUUCGAAUCCCACCGUGGCCC
Paramuricea clavata is the source of this 73-nucleotide non-coding RNA. NCBI's taxonomy places the organism in Eukaryota, Metazoa, Cnidaria, Anthozoa, Malacalcyonacea, Plexauridae. The record is from the annotation of a GenBank genome assembly.